AACGAACGCUGGCGGCGUGGAUAAGACAUGCAAGUCGAACGAGACUUUCAGCUGUAGCAAUACAGUUGAAAGUUUAGUGGCGAACGGGUGCGUAACACGUGGGCAAUCUGCCGAAAAGUGGGGGAUAGCUCGCCGAAAGGCGAAUUAAUACCGCAUAUGGUCAGCCAAGACAUCUUGGUGAAUCCAAAGCCGGGGCAACCUGGCGCUUUUUGAGGAGCCCGCGGCCUANCAGCUAGUUGGUGAGGUAACGGCCCACCAAGGCUAUGACGGGUAGCUGGUCUGAGAGGACGACCAGUCACACUGGGAACUGAGACACGGUCCAGACACCUAC
This 331-nucleotide ribosomal RNA is filed under the name uncultured bacterium. Its description in RNAcentral is "bacterial SSU rRNA". It matches the Rfam family "Bacterial small subunit ribosomal RNA", at positions 29 to 342 of the family's 1533-position model. The record is from RNAcentral.